GUAGGUGGCAAGCGUUGUCCGGAAUUACUGGGUGUAAAGGGUGCGCAGGCGGGAUUGCAAGUUGGAUGUGAAAUACCGGGGCUUAACCCCGGAGCUGCAUCCAAAACUGUAGUUCUUGAGUGGAGUAGAGGUAAGCGGAAUUCCGAGUGUAGCGGUGAAAUGCGUAGAUAUUCGGAGGAACACCAGUGGCGAAGGCGGCUUACUGGGCUCUAACUGACGCUGAGGCACGAAAGCAUGGGUAGCAAACAGGAUUAGAUACCCUGGUAGUCCAUGCUGUAAACGAUGAAUGCUAGGUGUGGGGGGACUGACCCCUUCCGUGCCGGAGUAAACACAAUAAGCAUUCCACCUGGGGAGU
Molecule: ribosomal RNA, 355 nt
Filed under: uncultured bacterium
Lineage: Bacteria
Description: bacterial SSU rRNA
Rfam family: Bacterial small subunit ribosomal RNA
Source: RNAcentral